UACGUAGGUCCCGAGCGUUGUCCGGAUUUACUGGGCGUAAAGGGUGCGUAGGUGGUUUCUUAAGUCAGAGGUGAAAGGCUACGGCUCAACCGUAGUAAGCCUUUGAAACUGGGGAACUUGAGUGCAGGAGAGGAGAGUGGAAUUCCUAGUGUAGCGGUGAAAUGCGUAGAUAUUAGGAGGAACACCAGUUGCGAAGGCGGCUCUCUGGACUGUAACUAACACUGAGGCACGAAAGCGUGGGGAGCAAACAGG
This 252-nucleotide ribosomal RNA is filed under the name uncultured bacterium. Its description in RNAcentral is "partial 16S ribosomal RNA". It matches the Rfam family "Bacterial small subunit ribosomal RNA", at positions 524 to 776 of the family's 1533-position model. The record is from RNAcentral.